UACAGAGGGUGCAAGCGUUGUUCGGAAUUAUUGGGCGUAAAGCGCGUGUAGGCGGCUUGGCAAGUCGGGUGUGAAAGCCCUCGGCUCAACCGAGGAAGGGCGCCCGAAACUGCUAUGGCUUGAGUGCCGGAGAGGGUGGCGGAAUUCCCCAAGUAGAGGUGAAAUUCGUAGAUAUGGGGAGGAACACCGGUGGCGAAGGCGGCCACCUGGACGGCAACUGACGCUGAGACGCGAAAGCGUGGGUAGCAAACAGG
Molecule: ribosomal RNA, 254 nt
Filed under: uncultured bacterium
Lineage: Bacteria
Description: partial 16S ribosomal RNA
Rfam family: Bacterial small subunit ribosomal RNA
Source: RNAcentral